This 1452-nucleotide long non-coding RNA is filed under the name Carassius auratus (goldfish). RNAcentral's name for it is "lncRNA (ENSCARG00000007687.1)". The record is from RNAcentral. Lineage: Eukaryota; Metazoa; Chordata; Actinopteri; Cypriniformes; Cyprinidae.
AUGCCAACAUUCCUGGGCAGCCUUGUCAAAAAGGGGGUGGGCCGAAAAGGAGUCAACAGGGAAGACCUGAUCGACACAGGAUUAAACCUGACGGUGAUCUCAUCUCACCUUUUCAAAAGACUCCAAUUUGAAGCUAAGAGACAAGAUCGAACUCUUACACCUCAAACUUAUGAACUGAAUGUACAGGCGUACAGACAGAAUGACAUCCCGUUUGAACAGGUUGUUUCCAGUCACCUGACAAUCGUUCUGAUGAGUCUAAUACAUCCCAUGUAUGUCCCACUAAUGAACACUCAUACAUUUCUCAUCAACAAAGACCUGCUAGAACACUUUGACCCUUUUCUGAACUUCAAACAGCUAAAAGACUUUGCUCAAGUGCGAGAACUUCUUUCUCUCCAGCCACACAGGUUGCUAGAGCCAGACGGUCAGGUCACAGAGGUCACGGGAACCCCAGCAGCCAGCCAUGAGUACAACGCCCUAACGACAAGCUCAAGUUCAUGCCUCUGUACCUUAAUCAACAAACAGGGUACGGUGGUACCAGCUUACACCAAAGGGGUCACUGUUCGGCUUAACCUGCAAUGUGUUCAAACCUUACACCACACGCUGGGUUUCUUCCAAUCCUCACCUGAAUGUGUGGAACUCGGACUCACACUUGCAAACAACAAGCAUGUCAAACACCAACACCUGUUCCAGCAAUGUGAUAACAUCACAAAAACACACAAUGUGAUCGUGUACUGGAAGAAGGCAAAAGGACACUCGAAGAUACCAAGUCUAGACAAGGACUUUAAAGAUCACACUGACACCCUUGCCAAAACUGGCACACUAAACAACAUUCUGUGGUCACUCCCAACCCACCCACCCACAUUCAAGGUUGAAGUGAUUACACACAGCAUAAGAACUUUGCUAGCUAAACUGCCUACCUCAGAAUCGCUUACGCUGGCUCCUUUGUCUAUACAGACCAACAAAGCGGACAUGCGGGCUUCUGAAACCUCGAUAAUGACUUUGCUUUACCACCUCUUAGACCCCUCCAUCCACCCUGGCAACAAGUCUACAGUCCCUGACAACCAAAGCCACAGACCACUGCAGGGUACACAAAACAUGCUGCGUGCACAGAACAAUAUUGUGGGUUGUGCACCGUCUGACAUCACAAUGCUAGGGCUUGUAAUGCCACGGAGCAAAAGGGGGAUAAUGCCAAUAUAUUUCCAUGACGCAGCAUGUGCUGCACCACGCAGCACCAGAGCCACUGACAAAACACUGAAGCAAGCGUCAUGCCAGCAGCAAAGAGGCUGCCCUGUCCAACCAAAGACAGCCCUCGUUUGUUUCUUUCUCCCCUUUCUCUCUCUCUCUCCCUAUUAUCUGUACCAGGAUGCUGCUGUGGUUUGCCGUGCCGUACUGUCAGCCAAAGAGAGGACAGCUGCCACCGAGAAAACCGCUGAGACUCCUGAUCACCGAUGA